This 513-nucleotide ribosomal RNA is filed under the name uncultured bacterium. Its description in RNAcentral is "partial 16S ribosomal RNA". It matches the Rfam family "Bacterial small subunit ribosomal RNA", at positions 28 to 523 of the family's 1533-position model. The record is from RNAcentral.
GACGAACGCUGGCGGCAUGCCUAAUACAUGCAAGUCGAGCGAACAGAUGAAGUGCUUGCACUUCUGACGUUAGCGGCGAACGGGUGAGUAACACGUAAGGAAUCUACCUAUAAGCGGGGGAUAACAUUCGGAAACGGGUGCUAAUACCGCAUAAUAUCUUCUUCAGCAUGGAAGAAGAUUGCAAGAAGGCUCUGCUGUCACUUAUAGAUGACCUUGCGGUGCAUUAGUUAGUUGGUGGGGUAACGGCCUACCAAGACGAUGAUGCAUAGCCGACCUGAGAGGGUGAUCGGCCACAUUGGGACUGAGACACGGCCCAAACCCCUACGGGAGGCAGCAGUAGGGAAUCUUCCGCAAUGGGCGAAAGCCUGACGGAGCAAUGCCGCGUGAGUGAAGAAGGCCUUCGGGUCGUAAAACUCUGUUAUAAGAGAAGAACAAAUUGUAGAGUAACUGCUACAGUCUUGACGGUAUCUUAUCAGAAAGCCACGGCUAACUACGUGCCAGCCGCCGCGGUAA